UUAAGUUCAGCGGGUAUCCCUACCUGAUCCGAGGUCAACCUUAUAAUAGUUGGGGUUGUUGGCAAGUACACUUAAGACCCUGUCGCGAGAAAAGUACUACGCGUAGAGCUUAAGAGCACCGCCACUGAUUUUAAGAGAGGCCAGUCAGGCCAGCUCCAAGUCCACCACAAGGGUGAUUUGGUCAUUAUGACGCUCGAACA
RNAcentral lists this unclassified non-coding RNA (200 nucleotides) under Helotiales sp. RNAcentral's name for it is "partial internal transcribed spacer 2". Lineage: Eukaryota; Fungi; Ascomycota; Leotiomycetes; Helotiales. The record is from RNAcentral.